This 253-nucleotide ribosomal RNA is filed under the name uncultured bacterium. RNAcentral's name for it is "partial 16S ribosomal RNA". It matches the Rfam family "Bacterial small subunit ribosomal RNA", at positions 524 to 776 of the family's 1533-position model. The record is from RNAcentral.
UACGUAGGUGGCAAGCGUUAUCCGGAAUUAUUGGGCGUAAAGAGCGCGCGGGUGGUUAAUUAAGUCUGAUGUGAAAGCCCACGGCUUAACCGUGGAGGGUCAUUGGAAACUGGUUGACUUGAGUGCAGAAGAGGGAAGUGGAAUUCCAUGUGUAGCGGUGAAAUGCGUAGAGAUAUGGAGGAACACCAGUGGCGAAGGCGGCUUCCUGGUCUGCAACUGACACUGAGGCGCGAAAGCGUGGGGAGCAAACAGG